Molecule: microRNA precursor, 134 nt
Filed under: Puccinia graminis f. sp. tritici CRL 75-36-700-3
Lineage: Eukaryota; Fungi; Basidiomycota; Pucciniomycetes; Pucciniales; Pucciniaceae
Description: microRNA MIR807
Source: RNAcentral
AACCUCAUCAACCGGAAGGGAUUCCUUCCGGUCGAUGGGGUCGUUGUACCUCAUCGAUCUGAAGGAAAUCCUUCCAAUCAAUGAGGUAUAACAACCUCAUUGACCGGAAAGGAUUCCUUCCGGUUGGUGAGGCC